GAUGAACGCUAGCGGCAGGCCUAACACAUGCAAGUCGAGGGGUAACGUGAGUGCUUGCACUUGACGACGACCGGCGCACGGGUGCGUAACGCGUAUACAAUCUGCCUUGUACUGGGGGAUAGCCUUUGGAAACGAAGAUUAACACCCCAUAGUAAUUAAGAGUGGCAUCGCUUUUAAUUAAAGGUUACGGUACAAGAUGAGUAUGCGUCCUAUUAGUUAGUUGGGUAAGGUAACGGCUUACCAAGACUACGAUAGGUAGGGGGUCCUGAGAGGGAGAUCCCCCACACUGGUACUGAGACACGGACCAGACUCCUACGGGAGGCAGCAGUGAGGAAUAUUGGACAAU
This 346-nucleotide ribosomal RNA is filed under the name uncultured Bacteroidota bacterium. RNAcentral describes it as "bacterial SSU rRNA". It matches the Rfam family "Bacterial small subunit ribosomal RNA", at positions 28 to 372 of the family's 1533-position model. The record is from RNAcentral. Lineage: Bacteria; Pseudomonadati; Bacteroidota.